Molecule: ribosomal RNA, 1155 nt
Filed under: Triticum aestivum (bread wheat)
Lineage: Eukaryota; Viridiplantae; Streptophyta; Magnoliopsida; Poales; Poaceae
Description: partial small subunit ribosomal RNA
Source: RNAcentral
AUGAAAACCAAUGGAUCAUCUGCCAAGAGUCAGGAAAUCGGGUCAAAAAGAAAGUGGAAGAACCAACAUGAACAUACAGCGAAGCAGAUCGCAUGGCAUUCCUUUGGGUACCAAGGCCACUAUCCGCAACAGAGGCCUGCACGGGAUGGUGCUUCACUCACCCCCUUGCCAGGGAGGCAAAAUGAUUUCCAUGUUUCAGGAGAUCGAUUCUUUCUGACGUCCAGCCCAUACCAACAAGAUCUGGAAAGUAGGUACAUCCAGGACAAAAUGAACGGUGUAAUCACUUGUUUGGUCUGUGGCAGCCAAGGACAUUACAGUUCUGAGUGCCAUUUCAAGGACCAAGAGCACAAAAUCAUUUGCGCAGUCUGUAGCAAAAAUGGCCACUGUAGCAUGUGGUGUUGCCAGCAGAACAAGUUGGAGAAUCGCGCUUGCACCCGCUGUGGAGAGAUAGGGCAUACUACCAGUACACAUGGUCUCGGUUGCUCAAGCUGUGACGAGUAUCAUGACGAUGGAGAGUGCCGUUUAAGCCAAGUUAAAUGCUUUAUCUGUGAAUGUCAAGAUCAUUAUCUUGCUCAGUGCCCCUUGAAUUCAGUAUUGACUGAGGCAUUUCAGGGUCAGAGACGGAACUUCCAAGCCGCUCUGCGGCUUGCACUAUCAAAACAACGCAACCCAUCAUCUACACCUGCCAAGUAUUACGCAAAAUCAGAAGGAGAAGUACUGACCGCCAACAAGUCUAGUCCAAUUUGCUUUACAUGCCGUGAAGAAGGUCACUAUGCCUGUAUGUGUCCGCAGAAGCUCGGAGCUAUAUCUGGCAACACGUCAAAAGAAUUAGAAGAGAGCAGCACUAUACCUACAUCCUCCAACAUGUCCAAAGUAUUGGAAGAACAGGGCCCUGGUACUGCUAAACAUUCAUCAGACAUGAAGUGGGUUGUUCGAUGUGUUAGCUGUGGUCAGGAAGGGCACAGGGCCAGGAGCUGUCCAACACGAGUGUUUAUAUGCUCCUUAUGCAAUGAAGAAGGCCACAAAGCCAAGAAAUGCCCUCAGAAGGGCCAGAAAUCAUCAGAAAUGAAGCGUAAAUCGAAUGUCCGAUGUGUAAGGUGUGGCUUGGAAGGGCACAGGCGCAAAACAUCAAUCAUAGACCGUCCGCAAGUCUAG